RNAcentral lists this long non-coding RNA (842 nucleotides) under Zostera marina. Its description in RNAcentral is "long non-coding RNA (ZMAR_LNC004901)". The record is from RNAcentral. Lineage: Eukaryota; Viridiplantae; Streptophyta; Magnoliopsida; Alismatales; Zosteraceae.
AUAACAUAACCAUCAAUUAAGUCGUCCACUCAUAUUUAUACUCUCAUUGUGUGAGAGUGAAAAAUCCACAAUGAGAGUUAGAUCAACUCAUUUAGAGGGCUCAAGCUAUGGUCUGAACCAUUUCGAAAGGGAUUGAUAAUGCACCGGUAGUACAUUGGGUUACAUCAAGUGACCCAAUGAAGUCGACAGUCUGAAAAGUCUGCAGUCUUGAUUUAUCAGUCUUUUAAUUCUUUGUAAAAUUGUGAUGACAAAUGAUUGUACACCAAUUACUCCCGUCAACAGGGAUUAAGGUUCCGUUCGCUUAUGUCGAACCCCCAGAAGGCUCCCACGAAAGCGGAACUAAAGUUUUCGUCGAGACCUGAGUCAACUCUCCAAAUCGCCGAGUUGAGGAGAAGAUCGCCAGAGUCUGGAAGGCUGACGAUCUUCCCUCUGAACUCGUCGAUUUCACCCCCAACUCGUCAAUCACCGAUUUGGACCGUUGCUCGCGUCCAGCUCGAGCCAUAAUGGUCGGGCGCGAUCUCCACCGCGGAUUACGCCCCCAGAGGUCCUAUAAAAGGAGACCUUGUAUUCAAUCCAAAGGCAUCAGUUCCAUCGAUUUUAGAGUAUGAUUCACGGAGCAAUCGUCGAUUUACUCAUUAAAUCGCUGAUUCCUGGCCUCCCGGAAGACUUGACCUAGAGUACGUGUUGUGGAUCUCAGAGCCUCCGGCAACGUUGUUAAGAUUUGACCCUGGGCAACGUUGGUGAGGAAGAUAGAAGAAGAAAAGUAUGUUAAACACAAUUAACCCAAAGUGGAGGGUUUAGACUUUAAUCAGAGAGAAGAAGAGAGUGUUUAACUUGAUAUU